ACGCUCGACACCUACGGGAGCAGCAGUGGGGAAUAUUGCACAAUGGGGGAAACCCUGAUGCAGCGACGCCGCGUGAGUGAAGAAGUAUUUCGGUAUGUAAAGCUCUAUCAGCAGGGAAGAAGAUGACGGUACCUGAGUAAGAAGCCCCGGCUAACUACGUACCAGCAGCCGCGGUAAUCUGAGCGGGCUGGCAAGGC
Molecule: ribosomal RNA, 197 nt
Filed under: uncultured bacterium
Lineage: Bacteria
Description: partial 16S ribosomal RNA
Rfam family: Bacterial small subunit ribosomal RNA
Source: RNAcentral